Non-coding RNA from Burkholderiales bacterium, 122 nucleotides. Lineage: Bacteria; Pseudomonadati; Pseudomonadota; Betaproteobacteria; Burkholderiales. The record is from Rfam.
CUUGAAGACCGCUAGGGUUCCGGGCUCAGACCACUUCUCUCAAGAAGCCAUCUGAGCCGUCUGGUCCGAGAGCGGUCGGCCACGAUCGUGUGGCUCCACGGAGGGACAAAAGCCCGGGAGAC